This 228-nucleotide ribosomal RNA is filed under the name uncultured bacterium. Its description in RNAcentral is "partial 16S ribosomal RNA". It matches the Rfam family "Bacterial small subunit ribosomal RNA", at positions 568 to 795 of the family's 1533-position model. The record is from RNAcentral.
UGCGUAGGCGGAAUGAUAAGUCAGUGGUGAAAACCUUCAGCUUAACUGGAGACUUGCCAUUGAUACUGUUAGUCUUGAGUACGGUCAAGGUAGGCGGAAUGUGUAAUGUAGCGGUGAAAUGCUUAGAUAUUACACAGAACACCGAUUGCGAAGGCAGCUUACUGGACCAUUACUGACGCUGAGGCACGAAAGCGUGGGGAGCGAACAGGAUUAGAUACCCUGGUAGUC